UAAGAGAUUAGGCGUUCCCUUCGGGGACAGAAUGACAGGUGGUGCAUGGUUGUCGUCAGCUCGUGUCGUGAGAUGUUGGGUUAAGUCCCGCAACGAGCGCAACCCUUAUUGUUAGUUGCCAGCAUUCAGUUGGGCACUCUAGCAAGACUGCCGGUGACAAACCGGAGGAAGGUGGGGAUGACGUCAAAUCAUCAUGCCCCUUAUGACCUGGGCUACACACGUGCUACAAUGGACGGUACAACGAGUCGCGAAACCGCGAGGUCAAGCUAAUCUCUUAAAGCCGUUCUCAGUUCGGAUUGUAGGCUGCAACUCGCCUACAUGAAGUUGGAAUCGCUAGUAAUCGUGGAUCAGCAUGCCACGGUGAAUACGUUCCCGGGCCUUGUACACACCGCCCGUCACACCAUGAGAGUUUGUAACACCCAAAGCCGGUGAGGUAACCUUCGGGGACCAGCCGUCUAAGGUGGGACAGAUGAUUAGGGUGAAGUCGUAACAAGGUAGCCGUAGGAGAACCUGCGGCUGGAUCACCUCCUUUCUAAGGAA
Molecule: ribosomal RNA, 540 nt
Filed under: Lentilactobacillus buchneri
Lineage: Bacteria; Bacillati; Bacillota; Bacilli; Lactobacillales; Lactobacillaceae
Description: bacterial SSU rRNA
Rfam family: Bacterial small subunit ribosomal RNA
Source: RNAcentral